This 425-nucleotide ribosomal RNA is filed under the name uncultured prokaryote. RNAcentral's name for it is "bacterial SSU rRNA". It matches the Rfam family "Bacterial small subunit ribosomal RNA", at positions 355 to 774 of the family's 1533-position model. The record is from RNAcentral.
UAACGAAUCUUGGGCAAUGGGCGAAAGCCUGACCCAGCAAUGCCGCGUGCAGGAGGAAGCCCCUCGGGGUGUAAACUGCUGUCAGGGGUUAGCAAGCGAAGGGUGUUAACAGCGCCCGGAGUUGAGCAGCCCCAAAGGAAGCCUCGACUAACUCUGUGCCAGCAGUCGCGGUAAGACAGAGGAGGCAAGCGUGGUUCGGAAUCACUGGGCUUAAAGCGGGUGUAGGCGGCUGCGCAAGUGUUUUGUGAAAUCCCACGGCUCAACCGUGGAACCGCAGGGCAAACGGCGCGGCUUGAGGUCGGUAGAGGUGCCUGGAACGCUAGGUGGAGCGGUGAAAUGCGUAGAUAUCUAGAGGAACGCCAGAGGCGAAAGCGAGGCACUGGGCCGAUUCUGACGCUGAGACCCGAAAGCGUGGGUAGCAAACA